Molecule: unclassified non-coding RNA, 2126 nt
Filed under: Octopus sinensis (East Asian common octopus)
Lineage: Eukaryota; Metazoa; Mollusca; Cephalopoda; Octopoda; Octopodidae
Description: rNA polymerase II-associated factor 1 homolog, transcript variant X2
Source: RNAcentral
AGUGUACUUCCGGUUUGUACCUUCUCCGGUGUAAAAAGUCUAAAACGACAUAAACUUGAGUAAAUUUGUUCCGGUAAGAAAACAAAAAUUUUGUUGUCUUUGGUUGUUUGUCUCAAGAAUUUAUCCAUGACAGGUCAACAUUGGUAUCUGGAAUCAUCCCAAAUAUUUUGAAAGUAACUCACAAUAGUUCAACAUGGCUCCGACAGUGCAGACCGGCCCACGGGAGGAGCGAGAGAGGAAAAACCGCAAUGUUGUGGAGAAGAGAUCUGAGCUGGUGUGUCGUGUCAAAUACAAUAACACACUGCCUGACAUUCCGUUUGAUCCCAAGUUCAUUACAUAUCCAUUCGAGUCAAACCGUUUCAUCCAGUACAAACCCACCUCACUGGAACGCACUUACAAGUACGACAUGCUCACAGAACAUGAUCUUGGGGUAACGAUUGAUCUAAUCAACCCAGAAACCUACAAGUUGAGCCCAAACAUUUACGCUGACUCUGAAGAUGAGAGACUUCUUGAGGAAGAGAUCAACACUCUACACGAUUCCCGUCGUUCCCGUCACCACAACACUUCAGUGUCAUGGUUGCGUAAGACUGAGUAUAUCUCAACAGAAUAUAAUCGAUUCAUACAGAAAUCUGACAAACAUGAAACAAAGGUCGGCUUCAAAUUGAAGCAGAUAAUGAAAGAGGAGGAUCUAUAUAAGGACCGCGAUAGCCAAAUUAAGGCCAUUGAAAAGACUUUUGAAAAUGCCAAAACUAACAUUGCUAAACAUUACAGCAAACCUGGUGUCACCCCAGUUGAGAUUUUACCUGUCUUUCCUGAUUUUGAUCUUUGGAAACACCCCUUUGCUCAGGUCAUCUUCGAUUCUGAUCCUGCUCCAAAGGCACGGACCCCAUCUGUUCAAGCUGAAGAGAUGUCUCAAGCUAUGAUCCGAGGUGCCGUUGACGAGAGUGGUGAGCAAUUUGUGGCGUAUUUCUUGCCAACAGAGGAGACCUGCAACAAAAGAAAGCAGGACCAAACUGACGACAUCUUGUAUCAGCCUGAUGAUUUCUAUGAUUAUACGCUGGCUCGCGAGUACAACUGGAAUGUCAAGAACAAGCUAUCGAAGGGCUAUGAGGAGACAUACUUCUUUAUCUUUCGUGACGAUGUCGUCUACUACAAUGAGUUGGAAACGCGCGUACGGCUGAGCAAAAGGCGUAAAACGGGGGCCGGUGCCGCUCAGGUGGCUAAGUCAAGGCUGAUUGUCAAACACCGCGACUUAUAUGACAAGGAAAUCACAGCACAGAAUGUCCGGCUGACCAUGCUGGAACCACAGCAAGAAGAAGAAGAGGAAGAGGAGGAGGACGAAGAGGAAGGGUCUGGCAAAGAGGAAGAGGAAGGGUCAGCAAAGGAGGAUGACGGUGAUAAGAAAUCGGUGGAGGGCAGCGACGGUGGCAACAGCAGUGACAACGAGAGUGUCAAGUCUGGUGGCAGCAGCAGCAGCGCCAGCAGCAAGAAAAGCAACCGCAGUGCCGCCAGCAGCCGCAGAAAGAGCAGCAGCAGUAGUAGCAGUAGUGAAGGUGAAGGUGGUGCUGGCAGUGGUGAUGAAAGAAGUGAAAAGGCUGGUCAGGAAGAGGAGGAAGAGGAAGCAAAAGGUGGCAGCGGAAGUGAAAAAGAAGCUGGCGACAGUGGGAGUGAGAGUGAGGCAGAAAGCGAGGCCCAAGCAAACGAGAACAAGAAGGACAAGGAAGCAAUUUUCGGUUCGAGCAGCGAGAGUGAAGCCGAAGAAGAGAUGGAGGAGGAGAACAAGGAAGACGAAGAACAGAUCUUUGGUUCUGCCAGUGAUGGAGAGAAUGAACCAGAUAACAAAAAGGAUGAGGAAGAAAUUUUUGGAGUUGCCAGUAGUUCUGAUGACAGUUCUUGAACACCAGAUUAACAGUUUGAAAAUUUCAUUUAAUUAAUUAAUUCUUUGGUGUGGGGAGUAAGAAGGGAAAGGGGGUUACUUAUUUUAAUUAAAAGUGAAAAAACUAAAAGCUCUUCUCAGUACUUGUGUGGUACUUAUUAUAUCAAGCUGUCAGGGUGGUGCUCCAGCAUGACCAUAGUCCAGUGACUGAAACAAGUAAAAGAAUUUGUGUAUGUGUGUGUGCGUGCGU